AACCCUCACUGCAGGUGAAACUCUUCAUCUAUAGAGGUGCAUGGGGGAGGAAAAUGUAAUGCCCUGAGCCAGAUGGUUUUCAUCUUGUUUUUUAAAGAAGAAAGGAACAAGCUAACAAGGGGACAGCUACUUUGUUAGCUUCUUGGCCUCUCUCAUGGCUUCGGAUCCCCAGGGUUCCAGCCACACAAGAGAAAGAAUACAGAAAAACAUAAACACUUAAAGAAAUAUAACUAGGGGGCUGGCAACACGCUGCUUUCAAAGAGUUGAGAGCCCUGUUCAGCGCUUUAUUUAUCACUGCCCACGUUCUUCGGAUGUGUAAAAGAAGAGCUAACCCUGCGAGCAUUACAGACCUGGUACGUACGUCCUCGACAUCUCCCUUGGGGAAGGGAGGAGGCUGAAGCCCCUCACUCCGUGCAACCAUCCCUAUUCAGGGGGACAGCAGAAACACUUCUGGAGAACUUCGGUGUGUGCCCGGAGAAGAGCCCCAGGCAGCGGGAUGAGGCCGCUGCUGCCAGCAAACAGCUUUUUGUCUGUGCUUUGCUUUGCCCUACCUUCUCUGCCUGCUUUCUGCUUCUUCCAGUUGGCUCGUGUAUUGACUCCAAACCCUUACGAGCAGCGUGCCUCUACUUUAACACCGCAACAGCGCCUAGAGCACGUUUGAGGUGCCAGCACCUCCCCACGAGGCCACCUUCGCCUCGGCUUCCCCCCGCAGAACAAACCGAAAGGCACUUCAUUAUUGCUCGGCUGAAGAGAAGGGAGGGCAGGGUUUUAAACAAGCUGCAUUGUGGCCGUCUUCUUUAAAAACCAGCGGGGUAAUCAAGUUCAGGGCAGCCCCGGACAGCUGCCCUGUGACCUAUUCAUGUUGACCCCCGCUAUUCAUCACUUUCCUCAGGACUAUGAGGGCAAGCUCCCGGGGAGUGACCACCACAAUAGACAGAUACGAGCCAACAAUAAUACGGUUCCUGCAAAAAAAAAAAAAAAAAAAAGGCAAAAAACAGAUGGCACCGCAAUAAAUUUACAAAUCUGCAUUCAUGGCUCUGUUAAAAACACCCAGAAGCUAAAAGGCUGGAGGGGCCCCCAGAGAGCUUCCCCUGCCCGGUUUCUAAAGGCCGGCUCUCUCCCCAAGACUAUUGAGCUCGUGUUCUUCAUAAAUGAAGAAUGGAGACAUAGCCCUUAAAAUAACAAAUGCCUGACCUAAUCAAUCUAGUGUUUGGGCCUAACACUAACUGAUAGGCACUGAAAACUAAUUAUGUUUUUUGGCAAGGAAGUUGAAUUAAAAUGGAAACACACAGGUUAAAAAGGCACUGAAGCAUUUGCGAGUCCCUUUGAAAGGGCGGCACACACACACACACACACACACACACACACGCUCACACGCAGGGCUUGAAACAGGAACCUGAUUCAAUAACUCAUGCAUUUAUUUUUAAAAUGAAUCAGAUUAGUCCCAUGUGUGACCUGCCGGUCCAUCUGUAUGAGCCGGACUUAAUGGGCACUCUUCUCACGCUUACUUCAGUUUGAAGUAUGAGAGAGAUAAAUUUAGUUUAAUUUUCAACAGAUCAAGCUAUCCAUUUUCCAAAUGGACCAUCUGGAUCAGCCUAUUAAAAUUAAUUUAUAACUUUGCAGUGUGAAAAUUCGUUUGUUAGCUUAAAUAAAGUUGCCAAAAACUUUUGCCACUUGUCAUUGUUUUUUCUGACGUCUGUUUUCAUACUGUGAUUUUCAGUUUUCCCCUUCAAAAUUUAAUUUUGUCAGAUCGAGCACUCAACAAGAACUGAACAUUUGCAUCCGUACUUCCAAAUCUGUCAUAGCUUAGAUCUUUUUACUCUUCCAGCUCAGUGUCAAGUUCAUUGCCUGUUCCUGUUUCCUUUCCCAGUGCUGAUCUCCGCAUCUCUUCUGCCUUGCUGCCCCUCACCAACCUCUGAGCAGCCGUGCCUCUUCCUGCCAGCACGCUAAGGACACGGCUCCACUUGUUGAGACUUCUGAAGAUAUCCUCCUACAAAAGCCAUUACAGUCAACAGAAAAAUUACAUUUCUUCUAGAGAGGUCCAUCGCACUAAGUUAUGGGGGUCUUCAGCCUCUGCUUACAACUUCAGAAGCCUAAGUAACCAUCGCACCUUUUUAUUACCUCCAUCUUCUACUACAUCUGUUCCACAAACCUACCUGAGGAAACAUUUAUGGCCCUGGCUAAUGCCUAACUAAUCAAAAAUGACUAAAUACAUGGACAAUUUCACUAGAAAGGCAGUUUAAGCAGACGGACUUCCCCCUCUCUCCACACAUACACAUUCAAUUCUUCUGCGCAGGUAGGUCCACGUUUCCCAAUAAUGAAAUUUUAACAGCAGUGUCUUAAGGGAGGGACAGAAAAUAUGAAGUCGUACACUCAAUAUUUACCAAGUUAGCAUCUUUCCACUAAGGUACUAGUACCGCACUCAGCACUUUUUGAGUAUUACUGCUUUGACAGCAUUUGCAGGACAGAUCUUUUUGGUUUUACAAAAUAUGCGCAGAUGUGAGACAGGGUAAUCACUCCUUCCUCUAGGAGAUGCAGAUCUUUCCAUUAAGCAUCACUUUUACUCAUUGAUUAGGAAGGAAAAAAGCACAUGUAUCUGUGUCUGAUUUCUUCCUCUACAGUUGGAAAAUUCCCAACUUGUUCUUGUCCAUCAUUAAUAGGGAAAAAGGAGCAAUAUGAGCUUCCAAAAUGCUUUGAUAGUUUCUAUCGAUGCCUACACAAAGAAUCUAAAUUCCUUCUACAACACGCGCAAAAUCUCGGGCAACCACCUCAUGUGAUAUAGACAAGAAGGUACUUGCUUUAAG
Molecule: long non-coding RNA, 2804 nt
Organism: Anas platyrhynchos (mallard)
Lineage: Eukaryota; Metazoa; Chordata; Aves; Anseriformes; Anatidae
Source: RefSeq, a predicted model, not a curated record